This is a long non-coding RNA of Cyprinus carpio (common carp), 1742 nucleotides long. Lineage: Eukaryota; Metazoa; Chordata; Actinopteri; Cypriniformes; Cyprinidae. The record is from Ensembl.
UUCAGUUCGCAAUCCGUCCCUUUGCACCACCUGGCGGUAGUUUCGUGAAUGAUUUUAACACGCGACUGAUUUGCAUUUAAAGCAGCGGCGUUAUUACCCAUUUUGGUUGUCUACCUACUGUAGGCCUUUUGUGUACUUAGAAAAAGUCUUAGAUCUUUGAGUUCAGUUCAUGAAAAAUGGGGGCAAAUACAAAAGUGUUGCAUUUAUAAUUGUGUUCAGUAUAUAAAAAAAAUCUGUGACAGUAAUUUCUUAAAGGGGUCAUAUGAUACGAUUUCAAAUUUUCCUUUCUCUUUGGAGUGUUACAAGCUCUUGGUAUAUAAAGAAGAUCUGUGAAGUUGCAAAGACUAAAGUCUCAAAUCCAAAGAGAUAUUCUUUAUAAAAGUUGAGAUUCAUCCACGCCCUCCUGAAACAGCUGGUUGUAACACGCCCCCACAUAUAUACAUCAGAUUUGCAUAAAGCCACCCAGAUGUUCACGCAAAGAAAGAAGGCGUACCUUUUAUUCUCGUUGUAGUAUUGUUGUUGCCGCUGCCGCAAUGUCAUAUAGAUGCAGUGUGUUUGUGACGACUGGGUGAAGGAGGAGCUGGAAACAUGUGCGAGUAUUAACAAUUUAAUGAAAAAAGCAAACAAAACAAACAAGAGUACAAACAAUGCAGGGAAGACGACAAUCCAAGAUGGUGACGGUGAGUAAUCCAGAUGGUGAUGGUGAGUGGGCAGCAGGAGAGGAUGGCACAGGAACUGCGGGGAAUCGAGACGAAGGUAAGGUAGUGAUGCUUGUGCGAAGAGUGGAUGAGGUUCCGGGGGAAGACACGGACAUCCAACGCAGAACAACACAGAAGCAAAGAACAUUACCAACAUGCAACAACGCUCUCACAAACACAAGACGUAAGACAAGCCAUAUAUAUAGGGAGAGGGUAAUGAGUGACAGCUGCUGCUGAUGACAAUUAACGGAGACGCCCACAAGCUAAUCAGUGCAGACGCGAAACACACAGACUUCACCACAAAGUGCAAAACCCAGAGAUCAUGGUUUACCAACCAUGACAGUGUUUCACUGAAAGCAAAACUACUUUGUUUGGCUUUCCAAAAGAGGACAAUAUCCACUUCGUCAUGCCUGGGGCUGAUCCGUGCUGGUCGCUGAGGAAAUACAUUAACUUUGCACUGUGGAUCGCCGAAUCGUCUUUCACCGUGGACAAAGCCAGCCCGGGGUCGUCACAUGUAGUUGCUGCAAGACCAAGGUAUGCUCCUACGUAGAAUCCGCCUGCCGCACCAUUCUCAAGCCGCCGGCCUCUGCUCAUUCAAGCCAGCCGCGGCUCACUCUAAACCUCCAGCCUCUGCUCACUCAAGGCCGCGGUGUGUGACGCUGUUUCAUUGAGAAAUCGAAACUACUUUGUUUUUGCCUUCCAAAAGAAAACACGACUAGAAAUCAUGUUUAUAUCAUGUUUAUAAUGCAACCUGUCCUCCAACUAAUACGCUCGUAUAGGUCAUUUGUCCAAAUCCCUGAAAUACGACCCAUCAGAGCGUAUACUACAAUUGCGCCCCUAUCAGCAGAAGGUCGUUUUCAUAUUAAUGUUUUGUACUCUUUUAUUUGCACUGUGAUUUGCGUUUCGUGUAGCUCAGUUGGUAGAUUAUUGCGUUAUACCUUGAUAUGCAAUCAUGCUAUCAUGGGUUUGAUCCUAGAGAACGGACGUGCACGUAAAAUGUAUAUGCUCAAUAAAUCAUAAUUUAGCAUGAUUUCUGUGAGGGUU